RNAcentral lists this ribosomal RNA (480 nucleotides) under uncultured bacterium. RNAcentral describes it as "partial 16S ribosomal RNA". It matches the Rfam family "Bacterial small subunit ribosomal RNA", at positions 28 to 507 of the family's 1533-position model. The record is from RNAcentral.
GACGAACGCUGGCGGCGUGCUUAACACAUGCAAGUCGAACGAUGAAGAAAAGAAUCGAAGCUUCGGCAGAAAUUCAUUUCGGAUUAGUGGCAGACGGGUGAGUAACGCGUGAGCAACCUACCUCUUACAAAGGGAUAGCCUCGGGAAACCGGGAUUAAUACCAUAUAACAUUGCGACGAAGCAUUUCGAUGCAAUCAAAGCUACGGCGGUAAGAGAUGGGCUCGCGUCCCAUUAACCGGAUGGUGAGGUAACGGCUCACCAUAGUGACGAUGGGUAACCGGCCUGAGAGGGUGAACGGUCACACUGGAACUGAGACACGGUCCAGACUCCUACGGGAGGCAGCCGUGGGGAAUAUUGCCCAAGGGAGGGAACUCUGAUGCAGCGACGCCGCGGGAGUGAUGAAGGAAUUCGUUUCGUAAAACUCUGUUCUAUGGGAAGAAAAGGACGGUACCAUAGGAGAAAGCGCCGGCUAAAUACGUG